Cygnus olor (mute swan) is the source of this 781-nucleotide long non-coding RNA. RefSeq lists it as uncharacterized. The record is from RefSeq and is a predicted model, not a curated record. The transcript has 3 exons. Lineage: Eukaryota; Metazoa; Chordata; Aves; Anseriformes; Anatidae.
GUUUAGUCUGGAGAAGAGGAGGCUCAGGGGAGACCUCAUUGCUCUCUACAGCUACCUGAAAGGAAGGUGUGGGGAGCUGGGGGUUGGCCUCUUCUCAACAGGUAACCAGUGAUAGGACUGGAGGGAAUGGCCUCAAGUUGUGCCGGGGAGGGAUGCUACUAAGGGGAUCCACUAAGGGGAUCCGGCUGUUUCCAGCAGGGUGACGGGAUGGACAAAUGAGGGCACAGCAGCCAACUUCCACACAAAGCUUUAGCAAAGCUCACAUACGAAGGCCCUUCUGUCACGAAACACUCAAUGGUUUAAAAUUUCAAUUCACUCUGUAUAUGGCACUGAUCACAUGUAUAUCACUGCUUUUUUUUGUUAAUUAAUUCUCCCUGUAAGCAUCCCAAAUCCAUGUCAGCACCAUAGGGUACAUACGGUACUUGACAAGAACUUCACCUACGGCUUUUUUCAGUGACAGACACUACAAGGUAGUGCUACAAGAACUAACAGGAAGGAAAUGCUCAUUCUUUGCAUUGUUUGCUUCAGCCAGAUAUGCAGCCCCUACAUCCUAACUGUACAAACUAUUUCCUUUCUCAUUAUCUGCUAUCCUUUCCCAUUUCAGGCAACACAAUCCAUACACGUCCACACAACUUUUCUUCUCCGAAAUGCCAGUAUGUUUUACAGUACAUGCCAAAACCAUGAAUACCGCAGGCCAUUCAAUUCAACAUUGUUCUCAGCAACGCUGAUUUUCAGCUUUAGAUCGCAAAGACACAAAAAUCCCCAUGUGGCAAAAAUGCUG